Molecule: ribosomal RNA, 1487 nt
Filed under: uncultured bacterium
Lineage: Bacteria
Description: bacterial SSU rRNA
Rfam family: Bacterial small subunit ribosomal RNA
Source: RNAcentral
UAGAGUUUGAUCCUGGCUCAGGAUGAACGCUAGCGGCAGGCCUAACACAUGCAAGUCGAACGGUAACAGAUCUAGCUUGCUAGAUGCUGACGAGUGGCGCACGGGUGCGUAACGCGUAUACAAUCUACCUCUAACUGAGGGAUAGCCCAGAGAAAUUUGGAUUAAUACCUCAUAGUAUUAUAGAAAGGCAUCUUUUUAUAAUUAAAACUCCGGUGGUUAGAGAUGAGUAUGCGUCCUAUUAGCUAGUUGGUAAGGUAAUAGCUUACCAAGGCAACGAUAGGUAGGGGGCCUGAAAGGGUGAUCCCCCACACUGGUACUGAGACACGGACCAGACUCCUACGGGAGGCAGCAGUGAGGAAUAUUGCACAAUGGAGGAAACUCUGAUGCAGCCAUGCCGCGUGCAGGAUGAAUGCCCUAUGGGUUGUAAACUGCUUUUAUACAAGAAGAAACAUCAGUACGUGUACUGACUUGACGGUAUUGUAUGAAUAAGCACCGGCUAACUCCGUGCCAGCAGCCGCGGUAAUACGGAGGGUGCAAGCGUUAUCCGGAUUUAUUAGGUUUAAAGGGUCCGCAGGCGGAAUAUUAAGUCAGUGGUGAAAGCCUACAGCUCAACUGUAGAACUGCCAUUGAAACUGUUAUUCUUGAGUAUGGAUGAAGUGGGCGGAAUAUGUCAUGUAGCGGUGAAAUGCAUAGAUAUGACAUGGAACACCAAUUGCGAAGGCAGCUCACUAAACCAUUACUGACGCUCAUGGACGAAAGCGUGGGGAGCGAACAGGAUUAGAUACCCUGCUAGUCCACGCCGUAAACGAUGAUCACUAGAUGUUGGCGAUAUAAUGUCAGCGUUCAAGAGAAAUCGAUAAGUGAUCCACCUGGGGAGUACGUUCGCAAGAAUGAAACUCAAAGGAAUUGACGGGGGCCCGCACAAGCGGAGGAGCAUGUGGUUUAAUUCGAUGAUACGCGAGGAACCUUACCAAGGCUUAAAUGUAAUAUGACCGGUUGAGAGAUCAACCUUUUUUCGAACAGAUUACAAGGUGCUGCAUGGUUGUCGUCAGCUCGUGCCGUGAGGUGUCGGGUUAAGUCCCAUAACGAGCGCAACCCCUAUUUUUAGUUACCAGCGAGUAAUGUCGGGAACUCUAGAAAAACUGCCUGUGCAAACAGAGAGGAAGGUGGGGAUGACGUCAAAUCAUCACGGCCCUUAUGUCUUGGGCUACACACGUGCUACAAUGGUUACUACAAUGUGAUGCCAUCUGGUGACAGAGAGCUAAUCAAUAAAGGUAAUCUCAGUUCGGAUCGGAGUCUGCAACUCGACUCUGUGAAGUUGGAUUCGCUAGUAAUCGUAUAUCAGCCAUGAUACGGUGAAUACGUUCCCGGGCCUUGUACACACCGCCCGUCAAGCCAUGGAAGUUUGGGGUACCUGAAGUCAGUAACCGCAAGGAACUGCCUAGGGUAAAACAAAUAACUAGGGCUAAGUCGUAACAAGGUAACCA